GUCCAGCUGACGAGUCCCGAAUAGGACGAAACGCGCGUCGAGCUGGAU
This 48-nucleotide non-coding RNA is filed under the name Schistosoma mansoni. The record is from RNAcentral. Lineage: Eukaryota; Metazoa; Platyhelminthes; Trematoda; Strigeidida; Schistosomatidae.